Molecule: transfer RNA, 75 nt
Filed under: Corynebacterium diphtheriae
Lineage: Bacteria; Bacillati; Actinomycetota; Actinomycetes; Mycobacteriales; Corynebacteriaceae
Also listed under: 2 other names
Description: tRNA-Gln
Rfam family: tRNA
About the family: Transfer RNA (tRNA) molecules are approximately 80 nucleotides in length.
Source: RNAcentral
UUCCUCUUAGUGUAACAGGCAGCACGCGGGGCUUUGGUCCCCGAAGUCUAGGUUCGACCCCUAGAGAGGAAGCCA